UGGGGAAUUUUGGACAAUGGGCGAAAGCCUGAUCCAGCAAUGCCGCGUGUGUGAAGAAGGCCUUCGGGUUGUAAAGCACUUUUGUCCGGAAAGAAAUCCUCUGGGUUAAUACCUCGGGGGGAUGACGGUACCGGAAGAAUAAGCACCGGCUAACUACGUGCCAGCAGCCGCGGUAAUACGUAGGGUGCAAGCGUUAAUCGGAAUUACUGGGCGUAAAGCGUGCGCAGGCGGUUUUGUAAGACGGAUGUGAAAUCCCCGGGCUUAACCUGGGAACUGCAUUCGUGACUGCAAGGCUAGAGUAUGGCAGAGGGGGGUAGAAUUCCACGUGUAGCAGUGAAAUGCGUAGAGAUGUGGAGGAAUACCGAUGGCGAAGGCAGCCCCCUGGGCCAAUACUGACGCUCAUGCACGAAAGCGUGGGGAGCAAACAGGAUUAGAUACCCUGGUAGUCCACGCCCUAAACGAUGUCAACUAGUUGUUGGGGAUUCAUUUCCUUAGUAACGUAGCUAACGCGUGAAGUUGACCGCCUGGGGAGUACGGUCGCAAGAUUAAAACUUAAAGGAAUUGAC
Molecule: ribosomal RNA, 566 nt
Filed under: uncultured bacterium
Lineage: Bacteria
Description: partial 16S ribosomal RNA
Rfam family: Bacterial small subunit ribosomal RNA
Source: RNAcentral